GGGGGCAUUCGUACUGCGACG
Molecule: microRNA, 21 nt
Filed under: Penaeus japonicus
Lineage: Eukaryota; Metazoa; Arthropoda; Malacostraca; Decapoda; Penaeidae
Description: miR-S11
Source: RNAcentral